GAUGAACGCUGGCGGCGUGCCUAAUACAUGCAAGUCGAGCGAACAGACGAGGAGCUUGCUCCUCUGACGUUAGCGGCGGACGGGUGAGUAACACGUGGAUAACCUACCUAUAAGACUGGGAUAACUUCGGGAAACCGGAGCUAAUACCGGAUAAUAUAUUGAACCGCAUGGUUCUAUAGUGAAAGACGGUUUUGCUGUCACUUAUAGAUGGAUCCGCGCCGCAUUAGCUAGUUGGUAAGGUAACGGCUUACCAAGGCAACGAUGCAUAGCCGACCUGAGAGGGUGAUCGGCCACACUGGAACUGAGACACGGUCCAGACUCCUACGGGAGGCAGCAGUAGGGAAUCUUCCGCAAUGGGCGAAAGCCUGACGGAGCAACGCCGCGUGAGUGAUGAAGGUCUUCGGAUCGUAAAACUCUGUUAUUAGGGAAGAACAAAUGUGUAAGUAACUAUGCACGUCUUGACGGUACCUAAUCAGAAAGCCACGGCUAACUACGUG
This 497-nucleotide ribosomal RNA is filed under the name uncultured bacterium. RNAcentral's name for it is "partial 16S ribosomal RNA". It matches the Rfam family "Bacterial small subunit ribosomal RNA", at positions 28 to 507 of the family's 1533-position model. The record is from RNAcentral.